This 425-nucleotide ribosomal RNA is filed under the name uncultured bacterium. Its description in RNAcentral is "partial 16S ribosomal RNA". It matches the Rfam family "Bacterial small subunit ribosomal RNA", at positions 354 to 796 of the family's 1533-position model. The record is from RNAcentral.
GUGGGGAAUAUUGCACAAUGGGGGAAACCCUGAUGCAGCCAUGCCGCGUGUGUGAAGAAGGCCUUCGGGUUGUAAAGCUCUGUCUUCAGGGACGAUAAUGACGGUACCUGAGGAGGAAGCCACGGCUAACUACGUGCCAGCAGCCGCGGUAAUACGUAGGGACCAAGCGUUGUUCGGAUUUACUGGGCGUAAAGGGCGCGUAGGCGGUGCUGUAAGUCACUUGUGAAAUCUCUGAGCUUAACUCAGAACGGCCAAGUGAUACUGCAGCACUAGAGUGCGGAAGGGGCAAUCGGAAUUCUUGGUGUAGCGGUGAAAUGCGUAGAUAUCAAUAGGAACACCUGAGGUGAAGACGGGUUGCUGGGCCGACACUGACGCUGAGGCGCGAAAGCCAGGGGAGCAAACGGGAUUAGAAACCCUUGUAGUCC